This is a long non-coding RNA of Engraulis encrasicolus (European anchovy), 598 nucleotides long. RefSeq lists it as uncharacterized. The transcript is spliced from 4 exons. NCBI's taxonomy places the organism in Eukaryota, Metazoa, Chordata, Actinopteri, Clupeiformes, Engraulidae. The record is from RefSeq and is a predicted model, not a curated record.
GAACGUGGAUCUAUGUAAGGAGGGCUUUGAUCAAGAGACCAUGUGCCAAAAAUCAACUGGAAAAGACGUCCGAGACCGGAGGCGAGGAAUUGGAUGGUCAGAAACCAGGCUGUUGGUGCUGCUGAGGCUGUUGGUUUUCCUGCUUCACUGGUGGAGGAAGUGCAGAGCAAAUUGUGCAGCGGUGGACUUCACUACUUGGAGAACAUGAAUGGAAAGAACACGGGGAUCAUCUAAGCCUGGAUGACUAACUGAAGAGGAAUUGGAUUCAACCCCAGUCCCAGCGUCUACAGGCAAUCAUGGAGGAUAAAUGACUUCUGAAAGUUCUGCAGCAGUUGACUCAGUUCAAACAUACCGUUUCAAUACUGGCAUGUCUUUACAGGGGGCUCUGGAGGAAAAGAAGAGAGGAGAAACACGCAUCUGAUGACCAACCACAUUUUACAGCUCCAGAACAUUUCCUCUAAGCCAAACCUCCUCAAAAGGUCUCUGGAAAGAAGCACCGAAGUAGAUUCCCUAAAGACUGAAAGACCACAUCUAAAUAACAGUCAAUGGAGCACAUGUCUCGGUGUCAUGGCUGUGUAAUUAUCAGAAAAAAAUGGUG